UUUAUGGCUUGUCGUCACCUGGGGUCGAGAGAUGGGGUUAAACUCCCCAAACGAGCCAACCCCUUCCCUUUAGUCCCAUCAUUUAGUUGGGCACUCUAAGGAGACUGCCGGUGACAAACCGGAGGAAGGUGGGGAUGACGUCAAGUCAUCAUGGCCCUUAUGGGUAGGGCUACACACGUCAUACAAUGGUCGGUACAAAGGGUUGCCAACCCGCGAGGUGGAGCCAAUCCCAAAAACCCGAUCGUAGUCCGGAUGGAGUCUGCAACUCGACUCCGGAAGUCGGAAUCGCUAGUAAUCGCGGAUCAG
Molecule: ribosomal RNA, 306 nt
Filed under: uncultured Rhodocyclaceae bacterium
Lineage: Bacteria; Pseudomonadati; Pseudomonadota; Betaproteobacteria; Rhodocyclales; Rhodocyclaceae
Description: bacterial SSU rRNA
Rfam family: Bacterial small subunit ribosomal RNA
Source: RNAcentral